UUUCUUUAAGGACAGAGGAACCAUAUUUUGAUGGCACCUUUAUUGCCAAGGAUGCUGAUGUUAACCACUUUGUUGAGGAGUACCCUGAAAAGUGUUAGUAAAAUAUAUUGUGUUAUAGUGUUUGCACCCUUUUUUAAGACAAAAUAUGUGGCCAAUAAUUAAAAAUGUAUGAUUUUCCAUUGGUUAAUAGUUAUUGUAUCCCUCUAGACCAGUUGGUAUCAUCUUAUAUAACGCAGGCUAGUAUCCUAGCAUGCCAGAAUCACAUGUAGCAUCAUGGUGCACCUCUCCCAAGCAAAUUUGUGUUUGGUUUUAUGGUUUUGUGUGGCUGUAAUGGGAAUGGAAGAUGCAUUUUCUGAAGUUCCUUUAGCCCCAGCAAAACCUUUAGGAGUAGUUUGAAAGUAAACCUUUAGUGUCUAUAUUUAUUAGAGGUGUCAUUUGGUGUGAUGCAACCUAACUCCUGAUGGACAAAAUAAGUAGGUAGAGAGGAAAAUCACUGCUUAUGGUUUUAACCAGAAUAUAUUGUCAUGCAGACAGCAGGCAAAGGAGUGUGCGGAGCCAGUCAGUGGUCUGCAGCACGGGAGACUGCCAGGAGGGCAAACAAAUUGGACGAGGAAGGCCUUGAGGUGGCUGUUUGCAGGCAUGGGGUGCUACUUAAGGGGAGAAAUUUUUGCAUAUCCCCUCUACCUGCAGUCGGAGCUCCAGGCAGCCACAAAGGGCCAGUUUUACUGCACAGACAUUGCCUGCAAGUACUGGCCCUAUUUAGAGAAGGUGGCAGUGUCCAUGCUCGACCUGAGGCCAUUACUGCAGAUGAAGCCAUUCCUUUCCAUUAUGCAUGCCAAGGCCCAUUCAACCAAGCGUGAGAUACUACAUAUUCUUCAUCAUAACAUUUGAGAUUGGGCAUUCAUUUUUCUUUCUUGGUGUUGUCUGAUCAUUUGGAGUGGCAGGAACCAGAAUUGUGCAGGCACACAGCUGGGGAGGAGGUAGACAUGGUCAACAGUUACCUAUCUGUGCCCUCACGACCAAAUACAUGACCAAGUCUGCAACAAAAUCCGUCACCUCCGACAAAGGAAACUUGGGGAAGAAAAGAGAAAACUCUUUCAAACUAUCAAGACCUACAAUGAGCGGGUGCCAGAGGAGGAACACAUCGAUGAGGACAAGGUGGAGAGCAGACGCUCUGUGGUGGGAGAAGAGAGUGGGACAGACACUCUCAUAUGGCCAUGGGAAUUGAACAGUGGUGAGACCAGAAAUACCCUCACUAUCUACUUCAAGAGAAGAUGAUCAUUGUGAUGAGGGAGAUGCAACAGCACUGCACCUAUCUCAGUAGGCUGGCUGGGGGCCUCAGGACAGACAUGUCAGAAAUAUCCCAUGGCAGUGCCUACUCCACUUCUUCCACUUCAGGCAGAGAGACAGAACAGUGGACACUUGUGCCACCAGAUCAUCCUCUGAAGAUCACUCAGAGAGCUGCAUCGGAGCGAGAGCCCCCCAAAAACCCCUCAGGUACGUAUACUCAGAAUACACAGACUCAACUUAAAAAACACUGAGGUAACAAUGUGCGUGGAUCUUUUGAAGUAACUCUAACUCGGCCAUUAUUGAAUAAAUCACAUGAGACUUUUACUGUUACACUAACUCAGUUUGUUUCAUUACAACCAACAUGAUUUGUUUUGUCCUCUGCAAGCUUAAUUAAAGUGAACCAAUUUCAUUUUAUUAAAUCUGACAAUUUGGUAAAUGAAGUUUAAAUGAAACUUUUGUGGCUAUAGUGGGAAUAAGAAAUUCUGUGGUUGCUAUGGCAACCACUAUGGUGCGUUCCUGUGACAGAAACAUGUUGGUUGCCAUGCCAACCACUAUGUUAUGUAGGUUUGAAAUGGACAUCAAAGGGCCCCGGGUCUUUGAUGGGGGGGUUGCCACAGGUACAAAACAUAGUGGUUGCCAUGGUAACCCCUGACAUCAAAGACCCGGGGCCCUUGAUGUCUGUUUGAAAUGAUCCACAUCAAAGACCCGGGGCCCUUUGAUGUCCAUUUUCAAACCUAAACCUAACAUUUAACAACACACAUGCUUACCUAAAUUGUCAGCUGCGUUGAGUAUACAUUUUAGUAUAUUUCAGCUGUUGUUGGUAUUUUAUUGUUGUAGUGUAUGUUUAUUGUCUUAAUAUAUUUUUAUUUCUGAUUAUAUUUUUAUUGUAUUUACACAGAUUUUUAUUUG
Long non-coding RNA from Chelmon rostratus (copperband butterflyfish), 2199 nucleotides. RefSeq lists it as uncharacterized. Lineage: Eukaryota; Metazoa; Chordata; Actinopteri; Chaetodontiformes; Chaetodontidae. The record is from RefSeq and is a predicted model, not a curated record. The transcript is spliced from 4 exons.